AAUAAAGGAACUCAGUCUAAGAACGUCACUUCCUGUGGCAACAACUGAGUGACCAACAUCACGUUGG
This 67-nucleotide small RNA is filed under the name Lysinibacillus xylanilyticus. Its description in RNAcentral is "Bacillaceae-1 RNA". It matches the Rfam family "Bacillaceae-1 RNA". Lineage: Bacteria; Bacillati; Bacillota; Bacilli; Caryophanales; Bacillaceae. The record is from RNAcentral.